Molecule: non-coding RNA, 368 nt
Organism: Notechis scutatus (mainland tiger snake)
Lineage: Eukaryota; Metazoa; Chordata; Lepidosauria; Squamata; Elapidae
Source: RefSeq, a predicted model, not a curated record
AUAAAGAAGGCAUUAUAUGUCAUUUCUAGUCCAUAUUUUUAAAAAGUUGUUCCAAUAGGCUUUUUAUACAAUAUUUUAUGUUGCUUUUUCUCCAACUUCGCAAAUUUAAGUUAAGGUCUUGGUCAUCAGUGCAGCCCAUAGCACAUCCUGGGUUAAAAUAAAGCCUAAAGGGAGACCUUGUAUAAUAUUUCCAUUUCAUUUCAUUCUGCCAUCUACAAUGUGUUAUGAUGAAAUACUCUCAUGUAGACCUGAAUCAAAAGGUUUUGUUUUUUGGAGGCUACAGUGCAAUUUAGGGCAUCUGUUAACUUGUCCUUAACUAAUUCAAACAGAUGGAUUAGUUACUUCAGUAAUAAGUGUUCUAAAACAUA